This is a non-coding RNA of Mandrillus leucophaeus (drill), 73 nucleotides long. The record is from the annotation of a RefSeq genome assembly. NCBI's taxonomy places the organism in Eukaryota, Metazoa, Chordata, Mammalia, Primates, Cercopithecidae.
GGUUCUAUAGUGAAGUGGUUAUCACAUCUGCUUUAAACACAGAAGGUCCUGGGUUCAAGUCCCAGUGGAACUA